Molecule: transfer RNA, 73 nt
Filed under: Zootermopsis nevadensis
Lineage: Eukaryota; Metazoa; Arthropoda; Insecta; Blattodea; Termopsidae
Rfam family: tRNA
About the family: Transfer RNA (tRNA) molecules are approximately 80 nucleotides in length.
Source: Rfam by way of RNAcentral
GCCACGGUGGUCUAGCUUUUAGAACGCUGGCCUUGUAAUCCUGGGGUCUCGGGUUCGAUUCCCGGCGGUGACU